This 468-nucleotide ribosomal RNA is filed under the name uncultured bacterium. Its description in RNAcentral is "partial 16S ribosomal RNA". It matches the Rfam family "Bacterial small subunit ribosomal RNA", at positions 28 to 507 of the family's 1533-position model. The record is from RNAcentral.
GACGAACGCUGGCGGCGUGCUUAACACAUGCAAGUCGAACGGAAAGGCCCUGCUGUUGUGGGGUGCUCGAGUGGCGAACGGGUGAGUAACAAGUGAGUAACCUGCCCUUGACUUUGGGAUAACUUCAGGAAACUGGGGCUAAUACCGGAUAGGAGCUCCUGCUGCAUGGUGGGGGUUGGAAAGGUUCGGCGGUUGGGGAUGGACUCGCGGCUUAUGAGCUUGUUGGGGGGGUAGUGGCUUACCAAGGCUUUGACGGGUCGCCGGCCUGAGAGGGUGACCGGCCACAUUGGGACUGAGAUACGGCCCAGACUCCUACGGGAGGCAGCAGUGGGGAAUAUGGCACAAUGGGCGGGAGCCUGAUGCAGCAACGCCGCGUGCGGGAUGACGGCCUUCGGGUUGUAAACCGCUUUCGCCUGUGACGAAGCGUGAGUGACGGUAAUGGGUAAAGAAGCACCGGCUAACUACGUG